RNAcentral lists this ribosomal RNA (774 nucleotides) under Bathyteuthis abyssicola (deepsea squid). RNAcentral describes it as "12S ribosomal RNA". Lineage: Eukaryota; Metazoa; Mollusca; Cephalopoda; Oegopsida; Bathyteuthidae. The record is from RNAcentral.
UAUAUUCGUUUUGCUUAAUGUGUUAUUAUUUAUUUUAUUUAAUAUUAAAUAAGUAAUAAUUAAUAUUAUUAAUAUAUUAUUAAUAUAAUAUAAAUAAGUUACGCAGUAUUUAUAAUUAUACAAUAAAUGAAAGUUUGAUAUAGUUAAUGUAUUUAAAGGUGGAGAAAUUGGUGCCAGCUUCUGCGGUUAUACUAAUAUCUUAAAUUUAUAUUUAUAUAGUAUAAAAUAAAGUAAUGUUUAUGGAUAUUAGAAUAAAUGAGAAUAUUGAUUGUGGGUAAAAUUUAAUUGGUAUUAUUAAUUAUGUUGUUCUAUAAUUGGUUCUUUGAAAAUAAGGUUUAAGUAAACUAGGAUUAGAGACCCUAUUAUUCUUUAUUUUAAAAAUUUUAUUAUUUAAGUAGUAUAAACAUAAUUAAUUAUUAUAAAAUGUUAUAUAUGUUUGAAAUUUAAAAGGCUUGGCGGUGUUAUAUAUCCUUCCAGGGGAGUUUGCUUAUUAAUUUGAUAAUCCUCAAUUUAUACUUACUUUUUUUUGAAAAAUUCCAGUUUGUGUAUUGCUGUCGUCAGUUUAUUUUGUAAAAAUAUUAUAAAAAACUUAAUAAUGAAAUGAUUAUAAUGUCAAGUCAAAAUGCAGCUAAUGGAGAAGGUUUAAAAAGUGAACUACAGUUUAUAAUAUUUAAUCGGAUUAAGUUAUGUAAUUAACUUAUAAAGUUGGACUUGGUAGUAAUGAAUAUAUAUAGUAGUGGGGAUUUGUGAAUUAGGUUUUAUAAUGCGUACAUA